UUUGGUACGAUCAAAAUUAUAAUAUAUUUAAUUAUUUUAUUUUACAAAAUACAUCAAACUAUGUCAUUUAAUAUAUAUCAUUACAUCCAAAAUUAUAAUAUCAUACCUAAAGUCGAUCUUCAGACCACUUCAGUUCUCAACCCACCUCAAGCCCUCUUCCACCCUCACGCCUCUUCCACCCUCGCAGAAGACAGUGGCUAGCUCUUCCACCCUUUUCCACCGUCGCGGAAGACAGAGACUCUUUCACCUUCUUCUAGAAGCAAAGGCCGAAUGACCUAAUCGUUCCAACAGCUACUCUUAAUCAUAAGUCAUUUUGGAAUAAAUAAGCUUUCUGGUGAAAUCCCAUCCUAGCUUUUUAGCUCAAACAUGAAGCUAAUGCAUUUGGUCAUUAUUUUGGUUCAUGUGGAAUGGGUGUCUUCGUAUCAGAUUGGUUUUGUUGUUCUGCUUCUGUCGGCAUCUGUUCUUGGAUGCAAUGAAAGAAAAGGCUGCACAAAAUUCUCUAAAUUCUGAUGGUACGAGUCCAACCAUAAAUGAUGUUGAGAUAGUGCAAAACCAACUAGGUAUAAGGAAGGGAUAUUGCCGUGGAUUCGGACAAGGUUUUAGUUUUUGUUCAGAAAACUGGAGAUUUUAUGGAUCUUGAAUAUAUAUAUUGUGGGUUUAUUUUGUUUUAUGACUAGUAAUAUCUUUUUGAAUGUUAUUGUAGAUCUAUUUUGUUUAUAUUUUGCAUGUAUCCGGAAUGGUUAAACCCACAGAAAUCAUGUAUUAGGGAUAGUUUACCCGUCCCAAAUACAAUAAUUAUAAUUAAAAAAAUCAUGUAUUAGGGAUAGUCUAUCUGUCCCUAAUACAAUAAUAAUAAUAAUAAUAAUAAUAAAUUUAUUAGGGACAGUCCAUCCGUCCCUAAUACAAUAAUUAUAAUUUAAAAAUAAUGUAUUAGGGAUGGUCUAUUCGUCCCUAAUACUAUAGGUAUUGGGGAUAGUCUAUACCGUUCUUAAAAAGUUUUAGGGACGGUGUUAUUUGGGAUAGUUUGACUGUCCCUAAAAGUCAAAAGUAUUUGUCACGGUCAAUUUUGACCGUCCCUAAAGCUCUUUUGGCAUGCUACUUUUAAUCACGGACCAAUUUGACUUUUAGGGACGGAUUCCGGGCUUUUAAGGACAGUUUCGACGUCCCUAAAACCCGAAUUUCUUGUUGUGACCCUUGUCUUCGUUUUGCUUCUGUUGAGUCUCAAAACUCCUCCAAGGGCCAUUCUUGUGUCUUAGGGAUAACGUACACCUCUAAAGACUUUGGUUUUAUAAUUCGCUUCCGCAUUUCGGAUCCGUUACCGGAUCAACGUUUUGGGUCAUCACAGGACACGUUGGGUUGUAAAAUCCAGGGUCGUCACAUUCCUAUUAUGAUUUUCCUUCCUAUUUGGUUUAGAAUACUACCAAUAAUCCUAUGCAGAAAAUUACAUUUUCCUAUGCAUGUCUAGGUCUUUGAAAAUUCUAUAUAAACAUUGAAAUUCAUCUAAGUUGAUACGGUUUCUACACUAUAACUUCAGAAUUCUUACAAGCCUAUUAGAGAGAUAUUUUUACAGAAAAUCAAAGUUGAUUUUUCUGUCAUUCUUUUUAGAACACACACAUAACACAAGAGUCAGUUUAGAGUGUUGUUCAAAUUCCUGAUCAUGAUCGAAGUAUCUACAAACGAUCAGAGAAAGCAGAUCUAAUUAUUCUACAUCAAAUUCAAAUCUUGAAGAACAGAGGUGAAGCGAUCACACUUUGAAAGGGUCAAAACAUUCGAAGAAUGUUGUUUGAUUUACCAGUAAUCCUAGCCUUCUACAUAGAUCAAGAGUAAGCCUGAGGUCAAGAGCUGUUGUUGGACGGGACGUCGCAAAGCAAGAGGACUGUUAACAAUUGGUGUUUGGUAGAGUGAUAGUGUGUGAGCCUGAGUCAAAGUCCAUUGUACUUUGUUUCAAACAUAGUGGAUCGGUUUACUUUGGACUGCACAGUCCACAAGGUUUUCUUACUCAAACAGUUGGUCUAUUUUACUAAUUGGGUUUCCUUGCUAAAAAUCCUGGUGUCAUCUCUAACUCUAUUACUUUACUUUAUUUUAUCUUGCAUGAGAUUAAUUGAUUAAUUGCUAAAAUAAGUAAAGUUAGAAAGACACAGAUCUAUUUUUAAAAUACAAAGCUUUCUACACAAGUUAUCUUCCAUUGCACAGCUCACAAAUUGGUAUGAGAGCCAAUCUCUACACAUUGAAUUGAUCUUCAUGGAAAGUUUUUUAGUUUUUCAAAAAUUUGUUUCAUCAUGUCUUAUGCGUUGAAAAAAUGUGGUUAUAAUCAACGUGGUCCUUUAUUUGAAGGAAAUAAUUAUAAUUUUUAAAAAUCUAUGAUGAGAGCCUAUUUGCAAAGUUUAGGAGGUAAAGUUUGGACUGUAGUUGAAACUGGUUAUACACCACCUACAAAAGAAAAAACUGUGGAUGGUAAAGUAACUUAAGUUUUGAAGAUACUUUUACCUUUAUUGCAGUUGAAAUUGAGCUUAAUAAUGCUAAUGGAAAAGCCUUAUAUGCAAUUAUAAAUUUUGUUAUUCUAUCUGAGUAUGUUAGAAUUUCUGAUUGUAAAACUGCUAAAGCUACUUGAGAUAUUUUGUAAGUUAUUCAUGAAGGGACUUCAAAGGUGAAGUUGUCCAAAUCCAAAUGUUUUAUCAUAACUUUGGGAACAUUGUGAUGAAAGAAGAUGAAUCAUUUUCUGAUUUUUAUUCUAGUCUUCUUGAAAUUAUUUAUGACCUGCGUCACUUAGGCAAAAGAGUUAGUGAUAAGACAAUCUGUGAGAAAAUCUUAAGGUCUAUACCUAAAAGAUUUCAAAUAAGGGUAAAAAUUAUUACUGAGCACUGGGAUUUGUCUAUUUCUAAAGUAGAUGAAGUUAUAGGUUCAUUGAAAAAUUUUGAGAUGCAAAAUUUUGAUCUAAAUCAGAAGGAAAAUAUUAUUGCUUUAAAAUCAACACAGGUUAAUAAUUCUAUCGAUGAAAAUUCUGAUGAUGAUGUUGCUUUUAUUUCAAGGCAAUUUAAUCAGUUUUUGCAAAGACAAUAGAGGAGAAGGAAUGACAGUGGGGCUAAUCCUAAAUUUUUUAACAAGGGGUCAAAAUUGAGAAUAAAUGAAAUGAAAGUAAAAAAAGUAGAAAAAAAAAAAAAAAAAAACUGAAUUCACUUGCUGGAAUUGUGGUGGCAAAGGUCACGCAGCGAAUAUUUGUCCUAGUUUUAAGAAAGAUCAAAAUGAUAGGAAUAAAGGAAAAACAAUGAAAGUUUCUGUUUCUGAAAAUUCUGCUUCCAGUGAUAAUGAAUCUCCUCAUGAUGAUUGCAAUGAUUUUUCUUAUGUUGCUUUUCUAAAUAAAGGUCUUCAUAUUGUUUCUUUGUCUAACUCUGACAUUUCAGAUGAUGAAGCCAAUGAAAUUCUUGAUGAAUAGGUUCAAGAGGAUGAAGAAAAAUUGAAGAAUAUGUUCGAAGAGACUAUUGAAGUCAAAUUGGCUGUUAACAAGUUAGCAAAGAAGCUUAUUCAAGCAAAAGAAGAGAAUGAAAAAUCUAAGAAAAUAGAUUGAUGAAGGAAAAAGAAAAACUUUUGAAAGCAAUUUAAUCAUCUUUGAUCUUAACAGGAAGAUCAUCAUUCUUGAAGAUAAGGUUAUUAGAAGUUCAAGUCUCAAGGUUGAGGAUCCGCAACUGGAGGACUUAUCUAUUCUUUCUAUUUUAUUUCAAAGUAGGAUAUUAUUACUUCAGUAAUUAUUAAUGGAUUUGUGGAUAGUGGAUUUUGGUUAAGGGGUCCUUAAGUUACGGAAUUACCGAGUUGUAACCAUUGGCGAGUUAUUAAUAGAAAUUUUUAUUUAUUAGUUUUUCUUCAGCGUAUUAUUUAUUCUUUUAUUUCAUUUUGUACUCUGUGCUUG
Molecule: long non-coding RNA, 3904 nt
Organism: Cornus florida
Lineage: Eukaryota; Viridiplantae; Streptophyta; Magnoliopsida; Cornales; Cornaceae
Exons: 5
Source: RefSeq, a predicted model, not a curated record